CGAGAAUCGCUCUUCAGGAUAUCCGUUCCGCGGACAUACGGCAGCUCAGGACUAGACGGCCCAGAAGAUUUUCGCUCGUAUGCACAAUCCCGGCUGCAAACGUGCCAUUAUUUUGAUUGAUGCCGAUGCAGCUUAAGACGAAGAAAGUAUUCUGCAUUGGACGCGUCGCAGGGGUAGUUCACAGGUGGAAUGCAAGAAAAAGAAAAGGUCACGGCAUUGGACAUCGUGGACAAUAGAGCACAAUAGAGGCUGACGCGAAACGCUAUCAUUUCCGCAUUAUUAGCUUGGGAAUCAUGCAGAUUAUUAAACAGUCGAAAAUAAUUGUUGCGGAUUUAUAAUGUUGUAUCAUUAUUUAUAUUAUAUAUUAUUUACAUAGAAAUAUAAUUGUACUUUUUUAAAUGCAUAUCCUCUUUUUGAUAAGUACAUGUUAAAUGAAUUUUUCUUUAACGAGACUAUAUAUGUCAUAAUGACACAACAGAUUUUAUAUAAGUUGUUGAAAAUAAAGAGGCUCCGAAUAUUAUGUAAAUUAUUCAUAAAUUAUAUAAUCUCAUCUUUUGGCUAAACAUUUCGAAAGAAAUCUGAUGUAUUUUCAUGAUUAAAUUAUUCGAAAUCCAUUUCAGAUGAUCUACAAUUCACGAUAGAAUUUAGGAUAAAAUUCUAUUUAUAAUUUUGUGUGUUUUGAGAGAAGGAUUUGCAGUUAAAAGAUAUUGUGAUUGGUCUUAGAUUAGCUUGCGCAACGUACGUUAUACAAUUACAGUUUAAUAUGAAAAUGCACAUGUUUAGCAAUUAAAAGUAAAAUUAUAAAUUUUUGUCUUUAUUUGCUCAGUGAAAAGGGAUAAUCGAUAUUCGGUCAUAUACUAACACAUAUUUUUUCAUUCUUAUUUGUACAACCAUUUCUCUCUCUCUCUCUCUCUCUCUCUCUCUCUCUCUCUCUCUCUCUCUCUCUCUCUCUGCGUGCAUGCAUGUGUGUAUGUGUGUGUGUGUGUGUGGUGUAAAUUAAAAAUUUUGUGGAAGUUAUUAUUAUUGCUUCCUUUACGACGUCAUACAACGAUAAAGUACAAACAUUCAUGAUAAAUGGGUAAUUCGAUAUUUUACUUUACACAAUAAAAUAAGUUCAUAGUGCUUAACUAAAAUUCAUUAUUAAGCUUAAUACAAGAAUGAAUUAAAUGAAUUAAAAUUCAGAUAUGUGUACAUGCGAAUGAAAUCUGUAACAUAUUUAAAGAUAGCUUAUUUAGAUUUGUUACUAUACACUUUGUUACUACACGAUUAAUUGCUGUACCGUUGCAGAACUGCGAAAUCUAUUGAGUCACAAAUGAAAUAUCUUUCCGAACUACGCAAGAAAUUAUGAAUUUUCGUUUUGGAUUAUAAGUGCUAAGGCACCA
Ooceraea biroi (clonal raider ant) is the source of this 1382-nucleotide long non-coding RNA. RefSeq lists it as uncharacterized. NCBI's taxonomy places the organism in Eukaryota, Metazoa, Arthropoda, Insecta, Hymenoptera, Formicidae. The record is from RefSeq and is a predicted model, not a curated record.